AUCAAACACUAUCUAAUCUAGCCAUUAAGUGAUUCAACUACCUCACCUACCCUCCUCAUUCUUCCUUCCCCUCCUCCCGUAACAGCUUUUCAAUUACUCGAAAUUGAAGCCCGUCGCGUGUAAUGCAAAACGCAUGAUGGAUUAUUCCUUUUGGGGUUUCUUCAGAUGAUUGUAGAUGGUUUGGGAGUUCAACAUUAGGCUUAAAAGCAAAAAUGGGAGUCUCAAAUACAACAUAUAACUCUGUGUUGAUGAUCAAUGCUGAUCUGGAAGAAGUUAAAAAAUUCAGACAAAGGAUAAUGGCUAUUGAGACAGGGACACCAACACCAGUUGCACGCAUUGAGAAAAGAGCUGCAUAUUCAGAGGAAGAUGAUUUUUUGAAUAAGACUCCGUAUAAACCAAUUUCUGAGAUAAGGGAUCUUAUAGAGAAAACGGUUUGUGUGACCAUUGGAGUAGUGAAGGAUUUUUCUCCGGGAAAGUCUUGGUGGUACAAGAGUUGCAACAUUUGUCCUUUGGCUAUGAGAGAAGUAGGGGAUGGUUACAAGUGUUCUAGGUGCAAUGCUGAAUCACAGAAUUUUACUCCAAGGUAUUCAUUAAAUUUGAAAGUUGCUGAUGAAGAAUCCUAUGCAUCAUUCAUCGUGUAUGAAACUGUUGGUAGUGAAUACUUACAAAUUUCUGCUGAAGAUCUGAGGACAAAACAUAUACUGAGGGGUGGGAACAGGAUUGAAUUUCCUGAAGAGUUAAGUAAAUUCAAGAAUAAAACUUUCCUUUUCAAAGUUUCUGUGAAGUUGGAGAACAUCAAUUCUUUCCAACCGGUUUCUAUCACAGUCAUGAAGUUGUGUCACGACGAGGCCAUAAUCAGUUCUUUCAAACAGAAGUACAGUAUUGACCAGGAUGCCUUCUUCCCUGCAAAUUCUGAUGUGAUAACACUUCCGGCUGAUUACUCAGAUAUUAAUAAGGUCCAAGUGAAAAGCUUGAGACUGAGUGGUUAAAGUCGAGAUCCAAAGCAAAAAGAGUGUGCUUAAGAGAUCUAGACACCUCUAACUGGGGACUCUAGCAAAGCUGAGUCACAAUCUGAAAAGGUUCACCCAGUCAUGUGUCUAUGGCAUUUAUGUAUCCGGUGGUAAUACUGGAAAACAAAGUGCUUAGGGCCACGGCCAAAACUCAUAAAAGUAGUUGUGUUCAAGAAUUAAAAUACUUAACUAGGAGAAUCAAUAACACUAUCCGAAAUUCUAAGUUCCUAGAGAAGCCAAUCAUUCUGAACUUCAAAGGUAUUUUCUGGCUGAAAUUGAGGGACCUGAGCAAAACUCUGAUAAGAAGGCUGACAAAGGACUGCUGAUGCUGUUGGAUUCUGACCUUCCUGCACUCAAAAUGAAUUUUCUGGAGCUACAGAACUCCAAAUUGCGCGCUCUCAACGACGUUGGAAAGUAGACAUCCAGAACUUUCCAAAAAUAUAUAAUAGUUCAUACUUUAUUCGAGAUUAGAUGAUGUAAACUGGCGCUCAACGCCAGUUCCAUGCUGCAUUCUGGAGUCAAACGCCAGAAACACGUCACGAACCAGAGUUGAACGCCAAAAAUACGUUACAACUUGGAGAUCAACUCCAAGAUAAGCCUCAGCUCGUGUAAAGAUCAAGCUCAUCCUAAACAUAUACCAAGUGGGCCCCGGAAGUGGAUUUAUGCAUCAAUUACUUACUUCUGUAAACCCUAGUAGCUAGUUUAGUAUAAAUAGAACUUUUUACUAGUGUAUUAGACGUCUUUUAAUUAUCCAGUCUUUUGACUAUCUAGUCUCUUGACCAUUCGGUCUUUCAUGGGGGCUGGCCAUUCGGCCAUGCCUGGACCUUCAUCACUUAUGUAUUUUCAACGGUGGAGUUUCUACACACCAUAGAUUAAGGGUGUGGAGCUCUGCUAUACCUCAAGUUUUAAUGCAAUUACUACUAUUUUCUAUUCAA
This is an RNA transcript of Arachis duranensis, 1945 nucleotides long. RefSeq lists it as uncharacterized. The transcript has 9 exons. The record is from RefSeq and is a predicted model, not a curated record. NCBI's taxonomy places the organism in Eukaryota, Viridiplantae, Streptophyta, Magnoliopsida, Fabales, Fabaceae.